RNAcentral lists this ribosomal RNA (177 nucleotides) under Clostridioides difficile. Its description in RNAcentral is "partial 16S ribosomal RNA". It matches the Rfam family "Bacterial small subunit ribosomal RNA", at positions 1361 to 1533 of the family's 1533-position model. The record is from RNAcentral. Lineage: Bacteria; Bacillati; Bacillota; Clostridia; Peptostreptococcales; Peptostreptococcaceae.
GGUGAAUGCGUUCCCGGGUCUUGUACACACCGCCCGUCACACCACGGGAGUUGGAGACGCCCGAAGCCGAUUAUCUAACCUUUUGGAAGAAGUCGUCGAAGGUGGAAUCAAUAACUGGGGUGAAGUCGUAACAAGGUAGCCGUAUCGGAAGGUGCGGCUGGAUCACCUCCUUUCUAA